AUUGAACGCUGGCGGCAGGCUUAACACAUGCAAGUCGAGCGGAAACGAUGGUAGCUUGCUACCAGGCGUCGAGCGGCGGACGGGUGAGUAAUACUUAGGAAUCUACCUAGUAGUGGGGGAUAGCUCGGGGAAACUCGAAUUAAUACCGCAUACGACCUACGGGAGAAAGGGGGCAGUUUACUGCUCUCGCUAUUAGAUGAGCCUAAGUCGGAUUAGCUAGAUGGUGGGGUAAAGGCCUACCAUGGCGACGAUCUGUAGCUGGUCUGAGAGGAUGAUCAGCCACACCGGGACUGAGACACGGCCCGGACUCCUACGGGAGGCAGCAGUGGGGAAUAUUGGACAAUGGGGGAAACCCUGAUCCAGCCAUGCCGCGUGUGUGAAGAAGGCCUUUUGGUUGUAAAGCACUUUAAGCAGUGAAGAAGACUCCGUGGUUAAUACCCACGGACGAUGACAUUAGCUGCAGAAUAAGCACCGGCUAACUCUGUGCCAGCAGCCGCGGUAAUACAGAGGGUGCAAGCGUUAAUCGGAAUUACUGGGCGUAAAGGGAGCGUAGGUGGCUCUAUAAGUCAGAUGUGAAAUCCCCGGGCUUAACCUGGGAACUGCAUCUGAAACUGUAGAGCUAGAGUAUGUGAGAGGAAGGUAGAAUUCCAGGUGUAGCGGUGAAAUGCGUAGAGAUCUGGAGGAAUACCGAUGGCGAAGGCAGCCUUCUGGCAUAAUACUGACACUGAGGCUCGAAAGCGUGGGUAGCAAACAGGAUUAGAUACCCUGGUAGUCCACGCCGUAAACGAUGUCUACUAGUCGUUGGGUCCCUUGAGGACUUAGUGACGCAGCUAACGCAAUAAGUAGACCGCCUGGGGAGUACGGCCGCAAGGUUAAAACUCAAAUGAAUUGACGGGGGCCCGCACAAGCGGUGGAGCAUGUGGUUUAAUUCGAUGCAACGCGAAGAACCUUACCUGGUCUUGACAUAUCUAGAAUCCUGCAGAGAUGCGGGAGUGCCUUCGGGAAUUAGAAUACAGGUGCUGCAUGGCUGUCGUCAGCUCGUGUCGUGAGAUGUUGGGUUAAGUCCCGCAACGAGCGCAACCCUUGUCCUUAGUUACCAGCGGGUUAAGCCGGGAACUCUAAGGAUACUGCCAGUGACAAACUGGAGGAAGGCGGGGACGACGUCAAGUCAUCAUGGCCCUUACGACCAGGGCUACACACGUGCUACAAUGGUAGGUACAGAGGGCAGCUACACAGCGAUGUGAUGCGAAUCUCAAAAAGCCUAUCGUAGUCCAGAUUGGAGUCUGCAACUCGACUCCAUGAAGUAGGAAUCGCUAGUAAUCGCGGAUCAGAAUGCCGCGGUGAAUACGUUCCCGGGCCU
This 1360-nucleotide ribosomal RNA is filed under the name uncultured bacterium. RNAcentral describes it as "bacterial SSU rRNA". It matches the Rfam family "Bacterial small subunit ribosomal RNA", at positions 28 to 1381 of the family's 1533-position model. The record is from RNAcentral.